Molecule: ribosomal RNA, 448 nt
Filed under: uncultured bacterium
Lineage: Bacteria
Description: SSU rRNA
Rfam family: Bacterial small subunit ribosomal RNA
Source: RNAcentral
AGAGCGAACGCUGGCGGCAGGCCUAACACAUGCAAGUCGAGCGCCCGUAGCAAUACGGGAGCGGCAGACGGGAUAGUAACACGUGGGAACGCGCCCUUCGGUUCGGAAUAACUCAGGGAAACUUGAGCUAAUACCGGAUACGCCCUUACGGGGAAAGAUUUAUUGCCGAAGGAACGGCCCGCGUCCGAUUAGCUAGUUGGUGAGGUAAUGGCUCACCAAGGCGACGAUCGGUAGCUGGUCUGAGAGGAUGACCAGCAUCACUGGGACUGAGACACGGCCCAGACUCCUACGGGAGGCAGCAGUGGGGAAUAUUGGACAAUGGGCGCAAGCCUGAUCCAGCCAUGCCGCGUGGAUGAUGAAGGCCUUAGGGUUGUAAAGUCCUUUUAACGAGGAAGAUAAUGACGGUACCCGUAGAAUAAGCCCCGGCUAACUUCGCGCCAGCAGCCGC